UGGGGCUUAGCCAAGAGGUAAGGCACCGGAAUUUGACUCCGGCAUGCCCAGGUUCGAACCCUGGAGCCCCAGCCA
Molecule: transfer RNA, 75 nt
Filed under: Agrobacterium rubi
Lineage: Bacteria; Pseudomonadati; Pseudomonadota; Alphaproteobacteria; Hyphomicrobiales; Rhizobiaceae
Description: tRNA-Gln
Rfam family: tRNA
About the family: Transfer RNA (tRNA) molecules are approximately 80 nucleotides in length.
Source: RNAcentral